This 49-nucleotide ribosomal RNA is filed under the name Tetramolopium consanguineum var. leptophyllum. Lineage: Eukaryota; Viridiplantae; Streptophyta; Magnoliopsida; Asterales; Asteraceae. The record is from RNAcentral.
CCCGUGAGGCGACAUACGGGUGAACAAAUGGAGGAGGGAGUUUCCUGGG